CGAAAGGCCAACUCAUGCUAUCUCUAGGAGACUACAAUUGACCUCUUGGCAUAGAGGUAUAUGGAAUCGAGAUGGGUGAUAUUUAUAGCCGAGUCCUUGGCUAGUGAGGGCUGAUCCUUGGGAGCUGGAUUCUCCAAAUCCAGUACUCUAGCUGUCUCCUUGGAGCUUUAUGGAAGCAAGGAACGAGAGGGAAGAGGAAGGAGAGGAAGAUAGAAUUUAACUAGUAUCUCACCAAUGUUGUACCACAUGAUGUAAUCCAUAUAUGUGUAGUCCCUUUCAAAGUACUCAUAUACUACUUGCAAUUCCAUCAUUCUUGUAAAAAUACUUCUCAAGUAUUUUUCUAAUAAAGUAUAUCUUUUACCUUUA
Molecule: long non-coding RNA, 366 nt
Organism: Salvia splendens (bonfire salvia)
Lineage: Eukaryota; Viridiplantae; Streptophyta; Magnoliopsida; Lamiales; Lamiaceae
Exons: 2
Source: RefSeq, a predicted model, not a curated record